RNAcentral lists this ribosomal RNA (253 nucleotides) under uncultured bacterium. RNAcentral's name for it is "partial 16S ribosomal RNA". It matches the Rfam family "Bacterial small subunit ribosomal RNA", at positions 524 to 776 of the family's 1533-position model. The record is from RNAcentral.
UACGUAGGGGGCAAGCGUUAUCCGGAUUUACUGGGUGGAAAGGGAGCGUAGACGGAACAGCAAGUCAGAUGUGAAAGGCAGGGGCUCAACCCCUGGACUGCAUUUGAAACUGUUGAUCUGGAGUGUCGGAGAGGUAAGUGGAAUUCCUAGUGUAGCGGUGAAAUGCGUAGAUAUUAGGAGGAACACCAGUGGCGAAGGCGACUUACUGGACGAUAACUGACGUUGAGGCUCGAAAGCGUGGGGAGCAAACAGG